GCUUAACGCGAAGAACCUUACCACCUUUUGACAUGCCUGGACCGCCACAGAGAUGUGGCUUUCCCUUCGGGGACUGGGACACAGGUGCUGCAUGGCUGUCGUCAGCUCGUGUCGUGAGAUGUUGGGUUAAGUCCCGCAACGAGCGCAACCCUCGCCAUUAGUUGCCAUCAUUCAGUUGGGAACUCUAAUGGGACUGCCGGUGCUAAGCCGGAGGAAGGUGGGGAUGACGUCAAGUCCUCAUGGCCCUUACAGGGUGGGCUACACACGUGCUACAAUGGCGACUACAGAGGGUUAAUCCUUAAAAGUCGUCUCAGUUCGGAUUGUCCUCUGCAACUCGAGGGCAUGAAGUUGGAAUCGCUAGUAAUCGCGGAUCAGCAUGCCGCGGUG
This 387-nucleotide ribosomal RNA is filed under the name uncultured bacterium. RNAcentral's name for it is "bacterial SSU rRNA". It matches the Rfam family "Bacterial small subunit ribosomal RNA", at positions 954 to 1364 of the family's 1533-position model. The record is from RNAcentral.